This 104-nucleotide non-coding RNA is filed under the name bovine gut metagenome. Its description in RNAcentral is "THF riboswitch". It matches the Rfam family "THF (Tetrahydrofolate) riboswitch aptamer". From Rfam's summary of the family: THF riboswitch presents a pseudoknot that joins P1-P2 and the loop of P3 and two THF binding. The record is from RNAcentral.
CAGAGUAGGAACAGCGCGCUGGCCGCAGGCCUGGAGUGACGUGGAAUGGGAAGUUGUCCACGGACGAAACAUUUAAUGUGCGGUGCUGUUUCCGCUUCCGCUGC